This 245-nucleotide ribosomal RNA is filed under the name uncultured bacterium. Its description in RNAcentral is "partial 16S rRNA". It matches the Rfam family "Bacterial small subunit ribosomal RNA", at positions 505 to 749 of the family's 1533-position model. The record is from RNAcentral.
GUGCCAGCUGCCGCGGUAAUACGUAGGUGGCAAGCGUUGUCCGGAUUUAUUGGGCGUAAAGGAUGUGUAGGCGGAUAUUUAAGUGAGAUGUGAAAUCCCCGGGCUUAACUUGGGGGCUGCAUUUCAAACUGGGUGACUUGAGUGCAGAAGAGGAAAGCGGAAUUCCAAGUGUAGCGGUGAAAUGCGUAGAGAUUAGGAAGAAUACCAGUGGCGAAGGCGGCUUUCUGGACUGCAACUGACGCUGA